CAGAUUGAACGCUGGCGGCGUGCUUAACACAUGCAAGUCGCGCGUGAAAGGACUUCGGUCCGAGUAAAGCGGCGCACGGGUGAGUAACGCGUGGAUGAUCUACCCAUGAGUUAGGAAUAACGGCUGGAAACGGUCGCUAAUACCAAAUACGCUCCGAUUUCAACUUCGGGGGAAAGGUGGCCUCUGCUUGCAAGCUACUGCUCAUGGAUGAGUCCGCGUCCCAUUAGCUAGUUGGUGGGGUAACGGCCCACCAAGGCGACGAUGGGUAGCCGGUCUGAGAGGGUGGACGGCCACAUUGGAACUGAGACACGGUCCAGACUCCUACGGGAGGCAGCAGCUAAGAAUCUUCCGCAAUGGGCGAAAGCCUGACGGAGCGACGCCGCGUGAACGAAGAAGGCCGUGAGGUUGUAAAGUUCUUUUCGGGAGGGGGAACAACCGUGGCAGGGAAUGGCCGCGGGAUGACGUGAAUCCCGGAAUAAGCCCCGGCUAACUACGUGCCAGCAGCAGC
This 508-nucleotide ribosomal RNA is filed under the name uncultured bacterium. RNAcentral's name for it is "bacterial SSU rRNA". It matches the Rfam family "Bacterial small subunit ribosomal RNA", at positions 25 to 518 of the family's 1533-position model. The record is from RNAcentral.